GUUGGAAUAUAUGAGAUUCCAUAUAGCCCUAUAUAUAAGAUAUAAUAGGGCUAAAACUUUUAACCCAGUUAUAAUAUUUUGAACGGCAGUUAGGACCAGUAGAUUAAGAGAAUUAAGGCCAUGUUUGUUUCAACGUAAGUAGACUUGGGGCGGAAGUAGAUUUUGGGUUGAAGUGAAGUUUAGGUGAAAAUUAAUUCACUUCCGCUAUUUGUUUCUAACUAUGGAAGUGCAGUUCUGUGAGUACUGUUGUUUGUUUGGUAGGAAGUAGAUGACGUAAAAAGUGUAGAUCUCCACCCCCGGUAUACUUACCUCCGAAGUGAUAUUAUUGUUUAUUUUAUAACUUAGUGAAUAAUAAAUUAUAAUAAAUAAAAAUUAAUAUAAUUAUAUAUGUAUAUAAUUAUAUAUAUGUAUAAUUAUAAAAUAAAAUUUUAAAAAUUUAUAUUAUUUGUUUGCAUAUAAAUUAUAAUAAUGCAACAAAUAAAAUUCUAAAGUUAAAAAAUUAUUAACAUUUAACAAAUUCAUUUUNCGGUAUACUUACCUCCGAAGUAAUAUUAUUGUCUAUUUUGUAACUUAGUGAAUAAU
This 582-nucleotide long non-coding RNA is filed under the name Ananas comosus (pineapple). RNAcentral's name for it is "long non-coding RNA (ACOM_LNC026589)". The record is from RNAcentral. Lineage: Eukaryota; Viridiplantae; Streptophyta; Magnoliopsida; Poales; Bromeliaceae.